Molecule: ribosomal RNA, 817 nt
Filed under: Halobacterium sp.
Lineage: Archaea; Methanobacteriati; Methanobacteriota; Halobacteria; Halobacteriales; Halobacteriaceae
Description: bacterial SSU rRNA
Rfam family: Archaeal small subunit ribosomal RNA
Source: RNAcentral
UUCCGGUUGAAUCUGCCGGAGGCCAUUGCUAUCGGAGUCCGAUUUAGCCAUGCUAGUUGUGCGGGUUUAGACCCGCAGCGGAAAGCUCAGUAACACGUGGCCAAACUACCCUGUGGAUGGGAAUAAUCUCGGGAAACUGAGGCUAAUUCCCAAUAAUGCUCCACCCCUGGAAUGGGUGGAGCUGGAAACGGUACGGCGCCACAGGAUGUGGCUGCGGUCGAUUAGGUAGACGGUGGGGUAACGGCCCACCGUGCCAAUAAUCGGUACGGGUUGUGAGAGCAAGAGCCCGGAGACGGAAUCUGAGACAAGAUUCCGGGCCCUACGGGGCGCAGCAGGCGCGAAACCUUUACACUGUACGCAAGUGCGAUAAGGGGACUCCGAGUGUGAAGGCAUAGAGCCUUCACUUUUGUACACCGUAAGGUGGUGCACGAAUAAGGGCUGGGCAAGACCGGUGCCAGCCGCCGCGGUAAUACCGGCAGCCCGAGUGAUGGCCGAUAUUAUUGGGCCUAAAGCGUCCGUAGCUGGCCGGACAAGUCCGUUGGGAAAUCUGUCCGCUUAACGGGCAGGCGUCCAGCGGAAACUGUUCGGCUUGGGACCGGAAGACCUGAGGGGUACGUCCGGGGUAGGAGUGAAAUCCUGUAAUCCUGGACGGACCACCGGUGGCGAAAGCGCCUCAGGAGGACGGAUCCGACAGUGAGGGACGAAAGCUAGGGUCUCGAACCGGAUUAGAUACCCGGGUAGUCCUAGCUGUAAACGAUGCCCGCUAGGUGUGGCGCAGGCUACGAGCCUGCGCUGUGCCGUAGGGAAGCCGAGAAGC